Molecule: RNA transcript, 2107 nt
Organism: Heterocephalus glaber (naked mole-rat)
Lineage: Eukaryota; Metazoa; Chordata; Mammalia; Rodentia; Bathyergidae
Gene: Slc30a9
Gene name: solute carrier family 30 member 9
Source: RefSeq, a predicted model, not a curated record
CUAAGUGACGUCGCAGUUUCAGGGUCGCUGAGGCCGCCGCUGGCGGCGCAAACCUCGGUGUUUUCUAGUGUCCAGUCUAUGGAGUCAGUUGGUGCCGCCGGCGGUGCGGAGGCAGGUGGCGGUGUCCGAGUGGGGGCGUCUGCCUCGCAAGGAUGUUACCGGGCUUGGCCGCCGCCUCUGCGGCCCACAGAUGUAGCUGCUCUUUUCUGUGCCGGCUCCGUUUGAGCUGUAAGGCAGCGCCCCGCGGCUCCAGCGACCGCCAGGAAUGGCAGAAUUUAGUGACAUUUGGAAACUUUGCAUACAUGCUUCCCUAUCAUCACCCACAUAUUUGUACACUGAGCCAAGUGAAGUUGUACUCUACAAAUAUCCAGAAAGAAGGACAAAGAUCACAAACUCUCAGAGUAGAAAAAUUACCAUCUUUUGGUGAAACAGCAGAAAACAUAGGUGCAGAACUCAAAGCUCCGCUAAAGCAAGAACCUCUCCAAGUAAGGGUCAAAGCAGUUCUUAAGAAAAGGGAGUAUGGAUCAAAAUACACUCAGAAUAAUUUCAUCACUGGAGUCAGAGCAAUAAAUGAGUUCUGCCUCAAAUCCAGUGAUCUGGAACAGCUUCGAAAAAUCAGACGACGCAGUCCCCACGAAGAUACUGAGUCCUUUACUGUAUAUUUGAGAUCAGACGUGGAGGCAAAAUCUUUGGAAGUUUGGGGAAGCCCUGAAGCUCUUGCUAGAGAGAAAAAGCUACGUAAGGAGGCAGAAAUAGAAUACAGAGAACGGCUGUUUAGAAACCAAAAAAUAUUGAGAGAAUAUAGAGAUUUCUUGGGAAACACCAAGCCACGCUCCAGAACAGCAACAGUGUUCUUCAAGGGACCAGGAAAAGUGGUGAUGGUUGCCAUUUGCAUCAAUGGUUUAAACUGCUUCUUUAAAUUUCUUGCAUGGAUUUAUACGGGUUCAGCAAGUAUGUUUUCAGAAGCUAUACACUCAUUAUCUGAUACUUGCAAUCAGGGUUUACUAGCAUUGGGCAUCAGUAAAUCUGUUCAAACACCAGAUCCUACUCAUCCGUAUGGAUUUUCAAAUAUGCGGUAUAUUUCUUCACUAAUUAGCGGUGUUGGUAUUUUUAUGAUGGGUGCAGGACUCUCUUGGUACCAUGGAAUUAUGGGAUUGCUUCAUCCUGAGCCAAUGGAAUCUCUUCUAUGGGCAUAUUGUAUUUUAGCAGGAUCAUUGGUAUCUGAAGGAGCAACACUUCUUGUUGCUGUAAAUGAACUUCGUAGGAGUGCUCGGGCCAAAGGAAUGUCUUUUUAUAAGUAUGUAAUGGAAAGUCGUGAUCCUAGUACCAAUGUUAUAUUAUUGGAGGAUACUGCAGCAGUCUUGGGAGUGACAAUAGCAGCCACUUGCAUGAGCCUUACUUCUAUAACAGGCAAUCCAUUGUAUGACAGCCUCGGUUCUUUGGGUGUGGGCACCUUAUUAGGUGUGGUCUCAGCAUUCCUGAUCUACACUAACACAGAAGCACUCUUAGGACGAUCCAUCCAACCAGAGCAAGUACAACGGCUUACUGAACUCCUGGAAAGUGACCCAUCAGUAAGGGCAAUUCAUGAUGUUAAAGCCACGGAUCUGGGAUUAGGUAAAGUAAGAUUUAAGGCAGAAGUGGAUUUUGAUGGACGAGUUGUUACAAGAUCAUAUUUGGAGAAACAAGAUUUUGACCAAAUGCUACAAAUACCUCUGACUUCAGAAUCUGUGAUGGCAGUUCCAGAGCUGGCCAUGGUGGCACACAUGUAUAAUUCCUCCUUUAAUGAGGACCUGGUUACCGAUUGUUCAGACUUAGGACUGAGGAAAUUCAAGAAGUGAAAACUCCUGAAGAAUUAGAGACCUUUAUGCUUAAACAUGGAGAAAAUAUUAUCGACACUUUAGGAGCUGAAGUAGAUAGGCUGGAGAAGGAACUGAAAAAACGCAAUCCUGAAGUUCGGCAUGUAGAUUUGGAGAUACUCUAAACUUGAUGGAGUGAGUCAUCUUGGCAGAGCAUUGGAAACAAGUUUGUUGUCUCUCUACAAAGCACGCCGUCUCCUUUUCAACCUGAAGGAGGAAGUGCCAUUUGGAAGCCAUUUUUCAAGAUGGAA